Molecule: long non-coding RNA, 2518 nt
Organism: Struthio camelus australis
Lineage: Eukaryota; Metazoa; Chordata; Aves; Struthioniformes; Struthionidae
Source: Ensembl
CUUCUAUAUAUUAAAAUAAUAGAAGUAUUUGCUGUAACAGUCAAACAUGCAGUAGAUAUUAUCUCAGGUCAUCAUAUAGCAAUCUCUAAUUGAAGAGGCAUUAACAGUUUUGGAACCAAACAUCUGACUGACAGUAGGAACAAGGCCUGCCAUGAAGAACUAGAAAUGCAGUAGCUUACAAAGGAGAUGUGAAUGAACAACCUCUAUAUAUUAAAAUAAUAGAAGUAUUUGCUGUAACAGUCAAACAUGCAGUAGAUAUUAUCUCAGGUCAUCAUAUAGCAAUCUCUAAUUGAAGAGGCAUUAACAGUUUUGGAACCAAACAUCUGACUGACAGUAGGAACAAGGCCUGCCAUGAAGAACUAGAAAUGCAGUAGCUUACAAAGGAGAUGUGAAUGAACAACCUGGCAACAUACCAUAGUUUCUUUUCCACAUUCUACUGCGAGAUGUGCAGUGACAAUGCUCCAAUUGAGCUGAUUCAUCAGCAGUCUCUCUAGUCCAUUGCCUGACAUUUUGAGGUGCCUUUUCUACAGCAACAAUAGCAACUCAGGAAAAAGCCAGUAUGGUGAAAACCAAGAGCAAGUAGUUCCCUUCUGAGAAAAGUAUCAAAAUAUGCGAUUCAAGGCAGUGCUCCUUCAAAUGCCUUUCUAGCUCACCGAAGAAAAGCCUCUUCUGGGUCCUGGAGCACUGGCUAUGCUCCCCACUGAAUAAUCUUCAAAGUUCUUCUUCUGCUGUCUCAACUCCCACCCCAGGGAGGCAUGAAACGCGCACACCAGCUUCUGCUUGACUUCACAGCAAUGAAGCUGUCAUAGAGACAACCCCAACUCCAAACAAUGUGCAAUUGCUCAGUUCAAGAGGCUCUUUAAAUAAGAUGCCAUAGCAGCAUUGUUUGGGACAAGGCAAUGUUUAAUUUAAACACAAGCAUACAAGACCUUCCCACGUUACACUUUAAAACACAGGUCCUAUAAGAUGUGCCAUCGGAAGAGUCUACAACAGGGUAGCAGCAACAGUAGAGUGAUAGCUAUAAUAACCAUAGACUAUGCUGUCUUGAAACCAGCCAUUCUGUUAAGGAUGAAAGUGAACUUAAUUCCACCCUACUCUGGGAUAAAAAUGCAAUAUAAAUGGCUUAUGAAUUCUAAUUUGUUUGUAAACUAUUUUGAAGAGAAAUAUAGCAAAUUUAAAAUAGAAACAGGCAUCUACAUGGAACAACAGAACAGAGAAGAGACUGGGGGGGGGGGGGGGGGGCGGAGGGGGGACCAGAUGUUCCGUGACCAUGAUUCUGAAAGCCUAAAUUGCAAAGUUUGCAAGUGUUUACAUCUUUCAAGGCUCUUUCAGGUCAUACAUCCUACACAACAAACUCUUCCAAAUUAGAUACUUAUGACUGGGAGACAAUUAUCUGUACUCUCACAAAACAGUCAGACCAGUUCUCUAAUUGCAUGUUCAAGACAUUCACAAGUGUUCUAUAAAAGGGGGUGACCAGAGAUUUGCAGAUGACAGGCUAAGCUAUUCAGGAUAGUAAGAAGAGAAAAAAAGGAUUGACUGCAAAAAAUUGCAACAUGCAAUAUCAAGUGAAUUUCAGCUGUCAUUUUAUCAUCCAGUACACAUGCAUAUACAGCGAUGCACAAGGCAAAAAAAGAAUCUUAACAUUACAUUGGAAGUCAGAUGUUCUGAGCAGAUUACUAUUUAAUGGGAACAAAACCUUACUAUGCUAAUAGAUGUCUAUAUGAGACUAUCAAUUCAACAGUGGCACAGACCAGACUUUUAGAAACACAGGCCCAGAUUACAUAACUGGCCCAUAUCAGCAAAAGAACAAGAGUCAGCAUAGAAAUAAGUCCCAUUAGAUACAAGCCAUGCACAUAUGACAAUAAGGAAUAACAUGCCAUUACCAUACAUCUGAUUUUUUUUUUUAAUUUAAAAGAGCAAAUAAGAAGUCUUGCAUCAGUACAGGAAGGAUUUAAAGCAAUCUGACUAACUCCAAUUUCUCAUUAUUCUAAAAUCCAAGUUUUACCUAUUUGCACACAGGUAUUGCAUAAACAUGUAGUUUUUCCACAGCAGGCCCUCUAGUAAUGUUCCCAACUUUAUGUUCUUGAGAAUUACCUUCCAUAAAUGCUUCUACCACAAGUUGCUUUAAUCCUAUUGCAACUCCUGAGGGGCGGGGCAAAGGUGCAAGUUUUAAGCAAGGGAAGUCACCAAAAUAGUAAGGUUUAAAGAAAGACCAUGCCUGGGGCAAGAAGCAGUUAAGCCAAAUUUUAUUUUUUGCACCAUCAACUGAUCUGACAUUGAACAUUAAAGAAUCAAUUCUAUAAGAACAACUUGCACCUAAUCAUUCAUCUUUCUACCUUGACACUACCACAAAGUUUUAAUAGUAGCUUUCUAUAAAUAGCUUUUUCUAUAACAUUUCAAUAUUUGAGAUUGCAUCGUAAGUUCCAAUCCAACAGAAAUGUUCGUUGAAAGCCCGUAGCAAUACUUUCUCCAUCACACCAGUAAUAAACAGAGAAAGUCUACAGCUAGUAAGCUAACA